AUGAAAUGAAUGUCGAGAAGGGUUGUAGCUGGCCUCUUGGGGCAUGUGCACACCUUGAUCGCACAUCCACCUCUCACACCUGUGCACUAUGUGUAGCUUGGGAUGAUUACGAUGUCGUAAAUGAUGUUGAAAGCCCUAGCUAUGAAUUUUUAUUAUAAACCCAUAUACAAAGUUAUAGAAUGGAUAAUGUUAUAGUGUGUAAUAGCACAAAUAUAUA
Molecule: unclassified non-coding RNA, 217 nt
Filed under: uncultured Pseudotomentella
Lineage: Eukaryota; Fungi; Basidiomycota; Agaricomycetes; Thelephorales; Thelephoraceae
Description: sequence contains ITS1
Source: RNAcentral